Long non-coding RNA from Sapajus apella (tufted capuchin), 1650 nucleotides. RefSeq lists it as uncharacterized. The transcript has 6 exons. The record is from RefSeq and is a predicted model, not a curated record. NCBI's taxonomy places the organism in Eukaryota, Metazoa, Chordata, Mammalia, Primates, Cebidae.
UUUCAAGACCAAGUCUUUCAAGCUUAAAUGAAGGGAGAAGGAUAAGGUUCUCAUAUACUGUAUUUUUUACUUGCCAGUUAAGAGUUUCAUUACCGGAGGUUUGUAGAGAUAGCACCACUGCUAUACAGGAUUUUCAACAAGAAGCUUCCUUCUGCAUCAAAGAUUACCUUUUUGUGUUUAAUAUGGCGGGGAUUAUUUAGCAGGGGUCAUUUCAAGGAUACACUGUGAGCAAGUGCAAUGGACUCUAGGCACAUAAGGCAAACAAUAAUGGGGACCUAACAGGACUCUGGAUCACACAUUGCUGUCUUCGUGUUCUAAUACUGAAUUUGGUCUUCAACCCAUUGCUGCUAGUGAAUUCUUUUAAAAUCUCUUUCCUUACUUUCCAGGCAAGGUGCUCCUUUACAUGCAAUGGUCAGUGCAAAUCAUUGUUAGUUUGCAUGCUUUCUUAAAGCAAGCUGGUACCUUGGAAAGGCCUAUGUGCAAAAAACUGAAUGUGGCCUCUGGCCAACCACCAGCGAGGAACUAAGGCCCUCAGUCCAGCAGUUUGUGAAGAACUGAAUCCUGCCAUCAACCAUGUGAGCCUGGAAGUGGAUUCUUCCCCAGAUGAAAGAAUUAUACCAUCUCAACUGUAGCAAGUACCAUGGCCUGUGCUUUUAGAGGUUCAAAAUUGAUGCAUGAGAGUAAAGGUGAAAAUAAGAUUUGUUAACAGAUGUUAACAGUCCUACAAAAUGUACCCUUGAAACUCCUGGUCAAAGUUUAUUUUCACUGCUAAACUGAAAACUGCAUGAGCACAGGGCCUUCUUCACUAUUGCAUAGUAACAAUCUUGCUCAAGCAUCUGAAGAAAGAGUAUUUUGGAGAAGUGCAGCAUUUCGAAGGGCAUUCUCAGGGAUAGGAUCUGAUACUCUGUCUUUCCAGCUAAUGUCUCAUCAAUAAAUACCUGGAUCAAUCAACAAUAAUAUAAUACUUAAAUAUUAAAUUUACUUCAAAAGGUAAUUACUUUAGCAUUUGCAAAGGGGAUAUGGAACGUUGCAGACUAGGAGAGAUAGAUAUUUCAGGACACCCACACAGAAUGGGCAUUGGUAUGGCAGAGGAGUAUUACAGAGAAUCUCAUUGUACCCAUGUCCAUGCAUGGAAUAACCUGCCUCCUGGCUGGCUUGAGGAAGCUAAUCAGACUAGGCAACAGCCACAGGAAAGUCACUAUCUCUUUCUAUAUCAACAACUCUCCUCCUCCUCCUGCCAAACACUAUCAAAAUCCUGAACGGUCAUAUAAAUUACUAAAUAUUAAGUUGGAAACCAAAAGCAAACAAAAUGAAUAUAAUGAUGUGACCUCAUUGUUGGGAGAAGGCAAUGCAGAGCACUUUUGGAUAUGCAAUUUUCCUGACCCACGGAGGUUUCCUAGGAACAAAGUCUAAAAGAGUGGGAGGAAAUAAUCCAGGCAGAUGCAAAAUCUAGUGAGUGGGAGUCGUGGCACUCACCAGAGAGAACAUGUGAUAUGCAGCAAAUAAGCUAGGAUCAGGCAAUCACAGGACUUCACAUGUCAACCUAUUCACUUUUCUUACUCUCUAUCCUGAUAUUGAAACAAUAAAACAACAAAAGGACAGAAUAAACAACAAAUAAUGGAAUGAAGAAAUGUUAACUACAAAAACAGA